UACAGAGGGUGCAAGCGUUAAUCGGAAUUACUGGGCGUAAAGCGUGCGUAGACGGUUAUGUAAGUCAGGUGUGAAAGCCCCUGGCUCAACUGGGGAAGUGCACCCGAAACUGAGUGGCUUGAGUGCGAAAGAGGGUCGCGGAAUUCCCGGUGUAGAGGUGAAAUUCGUAGAUAUCGGGAGGAACACCGGUGGCGAAGGCGGCGACCUGGGUCGAGACUGACGCUGAGGCGCGAAAGCGUGGGGAGCAAACAGG
This 253-nucleotide ribosomal RNA is filed under the name uncultured bacterium. RNAcentral's name for it is "partial 16S ribosomal RNA". It matches the Rfam family "Bacterial small subunit ribosomal RNA", at positions 524 to 776 of the family's 1533-position model. The record is from RNAcentral.